RNAcentral lists this ribosomal RNA (301 nucleotides) under uncultured bacterium. RNAcentral describes it as "partial 16S ribosomal RNA". It matches the Rfam family "Bacterial small subunit ribosomal RNA", at positions 509 to 809 of the family's 1533-position model. The record is from RNAcentral.
CAGCCGCCGCGGGAAUACGAAGGGUGCAAGCGUUAAUCGGAAUUACUGGGCGUAAAGCGUGCGUAGGCGGUGAGUUAAGUCUGCUGUGAAAUCCCCGGGCUCAACCUGGGAAUGGCAGUGGAUACUGGCUCGCUAGAGUGUGUCAGAGGAUGGUGGAAUUCCCGGUGUAGCGGUGAAAUGCGUAGAGAUCGGGAGGAACAUCAGUGGCGAAGGCGGCCAUCUGGGACAACACUGACGCUGAGGCACGAAAGCGUGGGGAGCAAACAGGAUUAGAUACCCCUGUAGUCCCUGUCUCUUAUAA